This 268-nucleotide ribosomal RNA is filed under the name uncultured Rhizobiaceae bacterium. Its description in RNAcentral is "partial 16S ribosomal RNA". It matches the Rfam family "Bacterial small subunit ribosomal RNA", at positions 1111 to 1382 of the family's 1533-position model. Lineage: Bacteria; Pseudomonadati; Pseudomonadota; Alphaproteobacteria; Hyphomicrobiales; Rhizobiaceae. The record is from RNAcentral.
UUAGUUGCCAGCAUUCAGUUGGGCACUCUAAGGGGACUGCCGGUGAUAAGCCGAGAGGAAGUGGGAUGACGUCAAGUCCUCAUGGCCCUUACGGGCUGGGCUACACACGUGCUACAAUGGUGGUGACAGUGGGCAGCGAGACCGCGAGGUCGAGCUAAUCUCCAAAAGCCAUCUCAGUUCGGAUUGCACUCUGCAACUCGAGUGCAUGAAGUUGGAAUCGCUAGUAAUCGCAGAUCAGCAUGCUGCGGUGAAUACGUUCCCGGGCCCU